UAUAUCAGGAUAUCUAGCACCCUCACUCACAUGCAACUCCAUCUUGCACAUGCAGAUACAUGGAGCGAAACGGAAUGCAAAGAGGAGUAGCAGAAUGCAAACAAAUACAAAUGGAAAGACUUGCAUUCAAGACUUCCAAAAAACCAAAGCUCUGGUACCAUGUUAGAUCACCAAUUGUUCUAAAAGCUCAAGUUAUUGGGCAAUGGGCCUAACAAAAUAAAUAAAACUAUCCAACAUUUUGAAGCAUUGUUAACGAUACUCAAGGGACACUUGUUAGCAUGACCCCUUAAUUUAAGUUUCCAAAAAAUCCCUUUCACAAUUUGA
Molecule: long non-coding RNA, 324 nt
Filed under: Actinidia chinensis (golden kiwifruit)
Lineage: Eukaryota; Viridiplantae; Streptophyta; Magnoliopsida; Ericales; Actinidiaceae
Description: long non-coding RNA (ACHI_LNC001117)
Source: RNAcentral